Molecule: transfer RNA, 68 nt
Filed under: Mordellidae sp. GENSP01
Lineage: Eukaryota; Metazoa; Arthropoda; Insecta; Coleoptera; Mordellidae
Description: tRNA-Trp
Source: RNAcentral
AAGGAUUUAAGUUAAAAAAAUUAAACUAAUGACCUUCAAAGUCAUAAAUGGAUUGUGUCUAACCCUUG